CAGUAGCCGCGGUAAAACGAGGGGGGCGAGCGUUGUUCGGAAUUAUUGGGCGUAAAGGGUGCGUAGGCGGUUCGGUAAGUCUUAUGUGAAAUCUUCGGGCUCAACUCGAAGUCUGCAUGAGAAACUGCCGGGCUUGAGUGUGGGAGAGGUGAGUGGAAUCUCCGGUGUAGCGGUGAAGUGCGUAGAUAUCGGAAGGAACACCUGUGGCGAAAGCGGCUCACUGGACCACAACUGACGCUGAUGCACGAAAGCUAGGGGAGCAAACAGGAUUAGAUACCCGAGUAGUCCCUGUCUCUUAUAC
This 301-nucleotide ribosomal RNA is filed under the name uncultured bacterium. RNAcentral's name for it is "partial 16S ribosomal RNA". It matches the Rfam family "Bacterial small subunit ribosomal RNA", at positions 509 to 807 of the family's 1533-position model. The record is from RNAcentral.